AGUCGAGGGGCAGCAUAUAGAUUGCCUGCAAUUUAUGAUGGCGACCGGCGCACGGGUGAGUAACGCGUAUCCAACCUACCCAUUACUAGGGAAUAACCCAGCGAAAGUUGGCCUAAUGCCCUAUGUAGUCGUUUGAUCGCCUGAGAUUUCGACGAAAGAUUUAUCGGUAUUGGAUGGGGAUGCGUCUGAUUAGCUUGUUGGCGGGGUAAAGGCCCACCAAGGCAACGAUCAGUAGGGGUUCUGAGAGGAAGGUCCCCCACAUUGGAACUGAGACACGGUCCAAACUCCUACGGGAGGCAGCAGUGAGGAAUAUUGGUCAAUGGGCGAGAGCCUGAACCAGCCAAGUAGCGUGCAGGAUGACGGCCCUAUGGGUUGUAAACUGCUUUUAUAUGGGAAUAAAGUGAGGGACGUGUCCCUUAUUGCAUGUACCAUACGAAUAAGGACCGGCUAAUUCCGUGCCAGCAGCCGCGGUAAUACGGAAGGUCCAGGCGUUAUCCGGAUUUAUUGGGUUUAAAGGGAGCGUAGGCUGUUUGUUAAGCGUGUUGUGAAAUGUAGGAGCUCAACUUUUAGAUUGCAGCGCGAACUGGCAGACUUGAGUGCGCACAACGUAGGCGGAAUUCAUGGUGUAGCGGUGAAAUGCUUAGAUAUCAUGACGAACUCCGAUUGC
This 667-nucleotide ribosomal RNA is filed under the name uncultured bacterium. Its description in RNAcentral is "bacterial SSU rRNA". It matches the Rfam family "Bacterial small subunit ribosomal RNA", at positions 60 to 716 of the family's 1533-position model. The record is from RNAcentral.